Molecule: ribosomal RNA, 273 nt
Filed under: uncultured bacterium
Lineage: Bacteria
Description: partial 16S ribosomal RNA
Rfam family: Bacterial small subunit ribosomal RNA
Source: RNAcentral
UACAGAGGGGCGAGCGUUAUUCGGAAUUAUUGGCGUAAAGGGCGCGUAGGCGGCCACGUAAGUCUCGGGUGAAAUCCCUCGGCUCAACCGAGGAACUGCCCUGGAAACUGCGUGGCUCGAGGCCGGGAGAGGAUGGUGGAAUUCCCAGUGUAGCGGUGAAAAUGCGUAGAUAUUGGGAGGAACACCGGUGGCGAAGGCGGCCAUCUGGACCGGUCCUGACGCUGAGGCGCGAAAAGCGUGGGGGAGCAAAACAGGAUUAGAUACCCUGGUAGU